GUGGGGAAUCUUAGACAAUGGGCGCAAGCCUGAUCUAGCCAUGCCGCGUGAGCGAUGAAGGCCUUAGGGUUGUAAAGCUCUUUCGUGGGGGAAGAUAAUGACUGUACCCCAAGAAGAAGCCCCGGCUAACUCCGUGCCAGCAGCCGCGGUAAUACGGAGGGGGCUAGCGUUGUUCGGAAUUACUGGGCGUAAAGCGCACGUAGGCGGACUGGAAAGUCAGGGGUGAAAUCCCGGGGCUCAACCCCGGAACUGCCGUUGAAACUCCCAGUCUUGAGUUCGAGAGAGGUGAGUGGAAUUCCGAGUGUAGAGGUGAAAUUCGUAGAUAUUCGGAGGAACACCAGUGGCGAAGGCGGCUCACUGGCUCGAUACUGACGCUGAGGUGCGAAAGCGUGGGGAGCAAACAGGAUUAGAAACCCCUGUAGUCC
This 425-nucleotide ribosomal RNA is filed under the name uncultured bacterium. Its description in RNAcentral is "partial 16S ribosomal RNA". It matches the Rfam family "Bacterial small subunit ribosomal RNA", at positions 354 to 796 of the family's 1533-position model. The record is from RNAcentral.